GCUUGGAUGGCUCAGUUGGUUAGAGCGCAGGUCUCAUAUUCGCUUAUGAGUGACCAAAUGGUCAUUAAUCCUGAGGUCGUGAGUUCGAUCCUCACUCCGAGCA
Molecule: non-coding RNA, 103 nt
Organism: Russula earlei
Lineage: Eukaryota; Fungi; Basidiomycota; Agaricomycetes; Russulales; Russulaceae
Source: the annotation of a GenBank genome assembly